This 415-nucleotide ribosomal RNA is filed under the name uncultured bacterium. RNAcentral describes it as "bacterial SSU rRNA". It matches the Rfam family "Bacterial small subunit ribosomal RNA", at positions 340 to 749 of the family's 1533-position model. The record is from RNAcentral.
UACGGAAGGCAGCAGUGGGGAAUAUUGCACAAUGGGCGCAAGCCUGAUGCAGCCAUGCCGCGUGUAUGAAGAAGGCCUUCGGGUUGUAAAGUACUUUCAGUCGUGAGGAAGGUGUUAAGGUUAAUAACCUUAGCAAUUGACGUUAGCGACAGAAGAAGCACCGGCUAACUCCGUGCCAGCAGCCGCGGUAAUACGGAGGGUGCGAGCGUUAAUCGGAAUUACUGGGCGUAAAGGGCACGCAGGCGGUUAAUUAAGUUGGAUGUGAAAUCCCCGGGCUUAACCUGGGAAUGGCAUUCAAGACUGGUUAGCUAGAGUCUUGUAGAGGGGGUAGAAUUCCGAUGUGUAGCGGUGAAAUGCGUAGAGAUGUGGAGGAAUACCGGUGGCGAAGGCGGCCCCUGGACAAAGCUGACGCUCA